ACGGUGGUAGACGGCCAAUUCAUUUGUACUGGGAGGUUAAGCUGCCAACCCCUCCCAGUCCGAACUGAUUGGACGUCUAUUCCCGUCGAAGACACCUAAAAAAUUGAUACUGUAUUUGUAAUUGUGAACUCCUGUGACGUCAUCACUACUGGACCAUACCCGACAACUUUGGCGCCAUCGUCAGUUUGUGGAAACUAGUGGAACCCACGUUUACAACAGAUGUUGAUCAUAAGGUCAAUUUAUGACCACAAAUUUCAUUUUGGACAAACAAAACAUUUGCUAUUUGGAGAAAAAGACGAGCGAUAGCAUCAUUUUGAUGCUAGUGGAAACAUGCAGUAUUACCAGUUCCGAGGCUAUGAGAUGAAGGUACUUGGAGAGCUCCAGAGACAACAAAACAGUGCCCAGUUCUGUGAUACACUUUUGCAAACUGAAGGUAUCUCAGUGCCCACUCACAGCUGUUUACUAGCGGCUGUUAGUCCUUUCCUGUCAAAGAAGCUAGCAGCCAUACCAUCUCCUGCAUUUGGGCAAAAACGUAUGCUCCGGCUUCAGUCUUUAAAGGCCCACACCCUGUUGAAGCUAGUCAGUCUACUCUACUCGGGGAAGUUGGAGGUAAAGGGAAGUUUGGAACAUAAAGAUGUGAUGGCUGCUGUCCAGAUGUUUGGGAUCGCAUCCUUCAUAGAAAGACAGACAAAUGAAGCCACAAAGGAAGUGGAACCCAAAGAUGUUCAAGUCGGGAGUUGCUGUAAAUGCACGUUAACAGGUGCAAACAGAGACGGGGCUGAAUGUCUGCUCAUGAAAGAUCCACUAUUGCAAGCGGAGGUGGUUAGAAGGAAAGAUAGAGAUCGUUCACUGGAAAAGAGAACAUGUGUAUCCAUUGGGACACAAACUUUAUUUGAGAAUCAAAAUGAUUCUCCAACCCCAGAGCAUAUCACAUUUCAAUCCAAAGACAUCCCAUUGGACAUGUGUGAGUCUAGUUCACACCACACUUCUACUUCUAGAACUAAUUCAUUAUCAGAUGAAGUGUUCAGCAACUGGACUUGUAGUUCCAAUAAUGACACUUCCUUCUCUCAGAGGCUUCAGCAUGGAUGUUUUGAUUCCAUUGGCAGUGCUGAUGUGCUGUCUCAAACAAAUGACAGGAGUAAAGCAAGUGCAGAUGAAGAAAGGAAGGUGCCAGAAGAUGAAAACGCAAAUACAACAAAGAGAAGGCCUGCAAUGGCCGAGGUAGCAAAGAAGAACCUGGCCAAGAUGAAACUGAACCAGUCAACACAAUUUUCUCUUAAGGUGAAGCUGAGAAGGAGGGCAAAGGAACAACUAUGGGAGGUUGUGUCCCUACAAGAUGAGGAUGAGACGGUCUCAGUGUUUGCUUCAUUGUCUCAGGAAGCUGACCCAGCUACAGCUAUGACAUCACAUAACCAUAUUACACAAACUCGACCCACCGAUUCUACUCAACCUCCAUCCCAUCCCAAUACCACAUCUGAACCAUUACGUCACUUGACUGUCACACACCAAAAUGGAACGUUCCAAUCAGCACCUCUUCCGCAGCCUUCGAGCCAUGUUCAAGAAUCUGAUGAGGAGAUAGAGAAGAUGUUGGACGACAUCAUAAUGCGUCUGAACAUCCUGCCUGACAUGGGAGAUCCAGAGAAUGGAAAUGGGGAGCAAAGUCCCCAUAUCUCAACAUACACAGCCCACGACCAGCUCAACUGCAAAAAUGUACCCUUGGUUGAUCCUAGUGAUGUAAUAAUCGCAGAGCAACCCUCUCUUCAAGAUGGCUCACCUGUGACAUCAAUAGUACAAACAGGAUUCCAGGAGGGCCAACCCUCCUUUUCGAUUUCGCCACCUUGUUUGAAUGAUUUAAGACUUCCUAAAUGCCUCUCGCCGAUAGACCCAUUAAUUUCAGAAGGAAGUGAUGACCCAAUCACUAACGAUCAUCCGUUGACUUUCUGCCCAGAACCCUUGCUCACAGAACAGUCAGGGUCCCUAGUUUUUCCACUCACUCAUGGAGAAGAUAAACAGUCUUCUUUAUUGAAGACAAGUCAAAACUGCAGGCCAAUGCAAUGCCUAAAACAGCCGGAGUUACAGCAAAGCUCAAACUGUUCGGAACCUAAUAGCAAAAACAGGGUGGUCGUAUAUCGCACUGCUGCAGAAAGGAAGUCUUACCCCAAGAAUAUUAACAGUACUUUAGUACGUAAAAAAAGUACAACAACGGAUUGUAAUGUACCUCCUAAAAAAAGGAAAGUGUGCUUUGAUUACACGCAAGAUGCUACUGGUUCAAUCUGUGAUGGAAUUCAAAAUAAAACAAAUCUGAGAAUUUGUUCUGUUAGUUUAUCACAAAAUAACAAACUGGGAAAAAAAAGAAAAUUGACUAUGGGUUCCCAAAUAUCACCAGCCAUUUGUUCAGGAAAACGGAACCAACAUUCAAUUAUAAAUGAAAAAUUUGUCAAUAUUUGCCAAACCCGUAUCAAGACCAAGGGGUUUCUGAAAACAACUCAAGUGCCACCAAAUGACACAUACAUACGAAGUAUCUCAGAUUCAAACUCUGAGAUCAAUUCACUGACUUUUGAAUCAAACCAAGAACCUUUCAAAGAGAAGAGAGGCAAACUAAAAAAACGUAAACUUAAAGCAAGUUCGCAUCUAAAUGGUGGCCCUCCAAUCAUUUCAAAAAAUGAAAAAAAGGAUCUAAUAAAAAAGGAAUUAUUAAAGAGAAACUUGAAAAAAACUCUUAAAAUGAAAGUAAAAAAGCCAAAAAAGAAUGCAAAAGCUGGGAAGGAGUUGGUACCACAGCAAAGUAUCAAAACCACUCCUCAGGCAGAUGAAGUCAAUCCAGGUUGCCCUUUAAUCCACAGCCAGGCAUAUGCCACCAGUUCACUGAAGAGCCCAGAAUGCAGUCAAGAAGAUAUCAUUGAUGUCGACUCUCCUCUCUCAUCCCCGCAUAAAAUACCUGUCAUCAGUGAAUCCGAGCUUGUAUUCAGUGAAACUACACAAAGUGAAGAGGAAGACAUUAAUGUGAUUGACUGAUGUUUGAAUGUUUGUAUACUUUUUGUGUGUUGCAAUGCAUGUAAAGUGUUUUUUUCCCCUGUUGUUUAAGUUCUGUGUAAGUUGGCACACAACAAUCUCACAUAUUUACUUUAUAUCUGAUCUCCUAAAUAACAAUGUGCUCAAGCAGGUAAACUGUUGCUUGUGUUGUAUUUGGUUUAUGGUUGUAAAUCUUUUUGUACAAAAAUACAGUAUGUUGAAAAAAAUUACAAAACAUGCUUAGGUAGUUUUCUGUUAUUGUUAAAGACCUAAUAUUGAUGUCAUUGCUUGAGGUAUUUAUUUUUAUUCAUUUAUUUAUUUAUUGGUCUCGCCGUACAGAACAUACUUUCCACCACUGUAGAGGGCGCACUGUCCCUACUCAUCGACGUCUACUCUUGAAUUCUUUCUUGACAUCGGAAGCGGUGGCGGAAACUGCAUACACGUGUAUGCUUGUGACUUGAAGGUUACUCCAUAGAUUUAGCGGCUUCUCAGUGAACAAGUCAUCAGGACGGUGUGGUUGCAGUCAGUAAGCCUGUGGCCAGCUCUGACACAUACUCAUGGAUCCCAUGAAAGCGCAGCAACUGGCGGCGGAGCUGGAAGUGGAGAUGAUGGCUGAUAUGUACAACCGGUAAAGACGAGAUAAGCUAACAAUGACCAACGCCUGCCACAGAAAGUGUGUGCCCCCUCAUUACAAAGAGGCAGAGCUGACGAAAGGCGAGUCUGUGUGCCUGGACCGCUGCGUGGCCAAAUAUCUAGACCUCCACGAGAGGCUAGGACGCAAGCUAACAGAACUAUCU
Corythoichthys intestinalis (scribbled pipefish) is the source of this 3809-nucleotide RNA transcript. It is a transcript of the gene named translocase of inner mitochondrial membrane 10 homolog (yeast), with no coding region annotated. The record is from RefSeq and is a predicted model, not a curated record. The transcript has 7 exons. Lineage: Eukaryota; Metazoa; Chordata; Actinopteri; Syngnathiformes; Syngnathidae.